GCGACCCAUCCUUUGUUUCUG
Molecule: microRNA, 21 nt
Filed under: Oreochromis niloticus (Nile tilapia)
Lineage: Eukaryota; Metazoa; Chordata; Actinopteri; Cichliformes; Cichlidae
Also listed under: 5 other names
Description: oni-miR-551
Gene: oni-miR-551
Source: miRBase by way of RNAcentral